This is a long non-coding RNA of Mercenaria mercenaria, 800 nucleotides long. RefSeq lists it as uncharacterized. The transcript has 3 exons. Lineage: Eukaryota; Metazoa; Mollusca; Bivalvia; Venerida; Veneridae. The record is from RefSeq and is a predicted model, not a curated record.
UAGCAUUCGUUAUUGUUCGGCAAAAACGGAGUUAAGCGCAUGCGCAGUCAAGUGACCUGGCCACGCCGUCGCCAUAUUGGUAGUCCUGAAGCGGAUCUAGACAGCGUUUUCACAACAACUGACACCAUGUCCAAAAGGCAGCCAGAAAGUAGCUCUGCAUGGUAGGAGUCCAUUAAAGAUGUGCCUGAUGAAACCAUUGGAAAUGUCAACAAUGGUAGCAUGGAUGGAAGUGACAGUGAUGUACCUUAAGAAAACAUUUGAAGUGACAAUGAUUGUAAGGUGGAUGAAAGUGACAAUGAUGUGCCUAUAGAAACCACUGCAAGUGACAACAAUGAUAACAUGGAUGAAAGUGACAAUGAUGGGCCUGAAGAAACCAUUUUAAGUGACAACGAGUGUAACAUGGAUGAAAGUGACAGUGACAGGCCUGAGGAAAAUAUUAUAAGUGAUAAUAAGGGACAACAAUAAUAACAUGGAUGAAAGUGGCAAUGAUGUGCCUGAGGAAAAUAUUGUAAGUGAUAUAACAGUUGUAACGUGGAUGGAAGUGAUACUAAUAUUUCUGAAAAAAAAACCCUCAGGGAUUGGCUGUAAUGAAUGAACAGGAUGAUUUUUUGGGAGAAAUAAAUGGUGAAUAAAGAUAUUUUGGAUUUGACUUCACUUUUACUGAGAAUGACAAUAAUUCGUUUUCAAAAACAGAAAUUUGCAGCUUUUGUCUAUAUAGAUUUUGUCAUCUUUUUUGUAGACGAUUGUGAUUUUUUUUCAAUUUGGUUUGAAAAUUUGAUUAAUAAAAAUAAAUGUUGUUU